Molecule: ribosomal RNA, 497 nt
Filed under: uncultured bacterium
Lineage: Bacteria
Description: partial 16S ribosomal RNA
Rfam family: Bacterial small subunit ribosomal RNA
Source: RNAcentral
GAUGAACGCUGGCGGCGUGCCUAAUACAUGCAAGUCGAGCGAACGGACGAGAAGCUUGCUUCUCUGAUGUUAGUGGCGGACGGGUGAGUAACACGUGGAUAACCUACCUAUAAGACUGGGAUAACUUCGGGAAACCGUAGCUAAUACCGGAUAAUAUUUUGAACCGCAUGGUUCAAAAGUGAAAGACGGUCUUGCUGUCACUUAUAGAUGGAUCCGCGCUACAUUAGCUAGUUGGUAAGGUAACGGCUUACCAAGGCAACGAUGCAUAGCCGACCUGAGAGGGUGAUCGGCCACACUGGAACUGAGACACGGUCCAGACUCCUACGGGAGGCAGCAGUAGGGAAUCUUCCGCAAUGGGCGAAAGCCUGACGGAGCAACGCCGCGUGAGUGAUGAAGGUCUUCGGAUCGUAAAACUCUGUUAUUAGGGAAGAACAUAUGUGUAAGUAACUGUGCACAUCUUGACGGUACCUAAUCAGAAAGCCACGGCUAACUACGUG